This 481-nucleotide ribosomal RNA is filed under the name uncultured bacterium. RNAcentral describes it as "partial 16S ribosomal RNA". It matches the Rfam family "Bacterial small subunit ribosomal RNA", at positions 28 to 507 of the family's 1533-position model. The record is from RNAcentral.
GAUGAACGCUGGCGGCGUGCUUAACACAUGCAAGUCGAACGAAGCAUUUAAGACAGUUUACUUCGGUUUGAAGUCUUUUAUGACUGAGUGGCGGACGGGUGAGUAACGCGUGGGUAACCUGCCUCAUACAGGGGGAUAGCAGCUGGAAACGGCUGGUAAUACCGCAUAAGCGCACAGUACCACAUGGUACAGUGUGAAAAACUCCGGUGGUAUGAGAUGGACCCGCGUCUGAUUAGCUUGUUGGCGGGGUAACGGCCCACCAAGGCGACGAUCAGUAGCCGACCUGGGAGGGUGACCGGCCACAUCGGGGCUGAGACACGGCCCAGAAUCCUACGGGAGGGAGGAGAGGGGAAUAUUGCACAAUGGAGGAAAAUCUGAUGCAGCGACGCGGGGUGAGUGAAGAAGUAGUUCGCUAUGUAAAGCUAUAUCAGCAGGGAAGAUAGUGACGGUACCUGAAUAAGAAGCGCCGGCUAAAUACGUG